AGCUCUUCCGCCGCGGCGCGCUCCUGAUGAGUGCUGUGUCCAGGAUGAUCAUGAAUUCAAGGUAUGUGUUAGAUGGCAAGUUUGGCUUUCCAGGCAUAAUUCCAGGAACAGUUCUUGGCCAAGGAUGAGAACUCUAACCUGACUGGAUACGCUGCUGUGAUGGGUUAAAGGAUUUACCUGAGGCCAAUAGAACAGGCAGGAAUUUAAUGCAGUCACCCCAUGUCUUUUUAAAGUAGAUGAGGGGUUGGAGAAUGGAGUGAGAGGGCUUAGCAGUGCCAAGCCCGUUACCUUUGAUUCUGGGACCUGGUGGAGAGAGCCAGCUCUCUAGAGUUAUUCUUGCACCUUCAUGUGUGUGCUAGCACACGUGUGUGCACACUCAAAAUAAUAAAUGUAAUAAAUGGGAGCGUUGGUGAAUGUUUAAUACUUAGAGGGUGAUAUGGCUUUGCAUUUCAAGUUGUGUUCAAACAUUUCUGAGUAGAUCCACCCAAUGUACUGGGUAGUACAUUAAGUGUUCUAUUUAUACUAAAAGAUGGUUAAUGUCAACAUAGUCCACACAUGGGUGUGUUGCUUUAUUUAUUAAGUAAUGGUUGCAGAUGUACUUACCUCUGGUGUUCCUUCUGCAGCUCUGGAGCUUGAGAUGAACUGGUCCGACUUCUAGAAGAGAAGGUUCCCCCCCCCCCCCCAGGAAAAGCCAGUGCAGUUACCUGACAGUGAGUAAACCCGAUGUUUCUUGUGGUUUCGUCAGAUCUACCAUCGCCUGCCAGCCUGACCUGCUUUGACCCCGCAGACUGUCCCUGUCCCCUCUGAACAAAAGGAUGGCUGUUGCACAGCAGCCCUAUGGUUUGGUUGCUGCAGGUACUUAAAAUGGCUGUCUGAACUUAAACUGGGAGGGUAGCCAUUAGGAGAUAGAAACCUACCUCCCAUAUUUCUUAGGAGUCUUGUGAUUUGGAGACUCCAUUUGUUCUUCAUUCCUCCCUAAAUGGCCAACCACCGUGGGCAAGGGUUCACCUGCCACUCAUAAGCCUAGCCUGAGCUGUGCAGUGGUGCUGCAUACCUUUAAUCCUGGCAGAGGCGGGUGCAUUUCUGAAUAUGAGGCCAGCCUGGCCUACAGAGCAAAUUCCAAAACAGCUAAGGCUACACAGAGAAACCAAACCACUCCAGCCUGAUUGUUUCAAGUACAGACCUUUCCUGAAGGUUCAGGCUUGGGCCUACUCAACUCCAUAGGCCCAAAGGCUAAUUCUUGAUAAAGUCAGUUAGGCUUCUGUUUCCUUGCUAGACACCUGGCCUCUCAGAGUCAAGUAACCUUCCCUCUCCCCUGACUUGAUUUAUAUAAGCCAGUCCUGCUAGUUCAAUAAUUGAGCUGUUCUCCGAAACAGUAUCCUAGGGUAGAAACAUAGAUUUAGCGGUGAAGAUGACCAGACCAAGUCUGCAGCCACCAAAACAAGAUUACUAGUUCUCAGAAAAAAUUUCCUGCCCUUCCCUGCACUGAAUUCCAAAGAAAACCACAAAGUGCCCUGAUCUUGCCACCAAAAUUCCCUGAGAUACUAAUUAGCUGACCAAUGAAUUUACAAAUAUAUUGCUGCUUUGCUGACCAAUCACAAUAUGACUAUUCAACCCUCCAUAAAAAGAGUAUAAAAAGAGCUGUGCUUGGGCUGGUGAGAUGGCUCAGUGGGUAAGAGCACCCGACUGCUCUUCCAAAGGUCCAGUGUUCAAGUCCCAGCAACCACAUGGUGGCUCACAACCAUCCGUAACAAUGUCUGAUGCCCUCUUCUGGAGUGUCUGAAGACAGCUACAGUGUACUUCUUAAAUAAAUAAAUAAAUCUUAAAAAAAAAAAAAAAG
RNAcentral lists this long non-coding RNA (1840 nucleotides) under Mus musculus (house mouse). Its description in RNAcentral is "RIKEN cDNA 2700038G22 gene". The stretch from base 116 to 186 matches the Rfam family "Small nucleolar RNA SNORD93". Lineage: Eukaryota; Metazoa; Chordata; Mammalia; Rodentia; Muridae. The record is from RNAcentral.